Molecule: long non-coding RNA, 1691 nt
Organism: Carassius gibelio (silver crucian carp)
Lineage: Eukaryota; Metazoa; Chordata; Actinopteri; Cypriniformes; Cyprinidae
Exons: 3
Source: RefSeq, a predicted model, not a curated record
GUCAAAGUUUACCAAUUUAUUCAUACAGAUAUAUCUAAUGUUUAUAAUUAUGCCAGAUUAUGAUUGCAAUGAAACCUGGAAAAAGACAUAGAAGCCCAUAAAAACAGAAGACUUGCAAUAGGUUUUAUCACCCAUCAUUUAUUUUAAUUAUCUAUAUAUAUAACAAAAUGUGUGCAUCUGUGUGUGGGUUUAAGCAUGCUUAUUGAGUAUUAAUAUAGUAGUUUAAACAUUUCAUGUUUGUGUGUGUCUGUAAUUCUGUUCUAUUCUUUUACUGUCAGCCAUAUCUAGGUUAUUUAAAAUCAGUGCAGUACUAUUAUCCAGACUGUGAAAUUAUACAUAAAUUGCGUAUGCUUCUUUGGAAUGAAAUUAAGACAACAUAUAACAGUUAUAAAGGUUAAAGAGACAGUGUUGUAUGAUAAAUUGCAUUUACGACCACUAGAUGUCACUGGAAGACCACUAAUGGGCUCACUAAAGACUAAAACAUUACAGUUCAUUGUCUCGAUGAUUGAUUCAUCUAGAAAAAUAUAUAUUACUAUUAUUUAAUAUUACUGUUCAAGCAUUUAAGAUCACAUUGAGUGAAAGUUCAACAAUUUAUUCAUACAUGUAUAUCAAAUGUUUACUAUUAUGUCAGAAUAUGAAUGCAAUGAAACCUGACAUAGAAAUGUAAGAAAAGAAGUCUUUCUGUGAGUUGUGUGUCACCUAUAAUUUAUUUCAAAUAUCUACAUACAACAAAAUGUGUGGGCAUGUACUUCUCUCUGUGUGUGUGUGUGUGUGUGUGUGUGUGUGUGUGUAAUCAUGCUUAUUGAUUAUUCAUAUAAUAGUUGAACCAUUUCAUUUCUGUGUGUGAGUGUCUGUGAGCCUAUUCUCCAUGUUAGACAAUGGCACACACAAGUUUGGCUUAAUUACAACAAAGCUUUGCAGAGAUAUAGCCUCAGGCUCAUUUUGUUAAGAUGCCUGACAUCUGAAGCAGCGCUGUACAAAAACGGUUUCGUCUAUUGACACGAAAUCCAUAACUUUUUGUCAGCACGGUCUGAAGAUGAUCUGAUUCAAUUUUGGUGAAAAUCAGACAAACGGUUGAGGAUGAGUUUAAAAAAAAAGUUUUUCAACAUGAAUCAAAAUGGCGGACAGGAAGUUUUGCUUAAUAUGACAUAAUUGGUAUGUAUGUUGUCGGCAUGUCCCAAGGAACAUUUUGAGACAUGUUUCAUGAUAAUAGGCUAAUGCAAUCAAAAGUUAUUAGCAUUAUUUGAAAUGUAAUAAUUAGCGGUUAUUGAUUGGUUUAUUACUCUUGACCAAUAGGUGGCGCUGUGACCAAAAUGAUGUGGCGUGGUCAAUGUGAUGUGACAAUGUCACAUAUUAAGUUUUGUGUAAAUAUCUCCAACCUUUGCAGAGAUACAGCCUCAGAUGCAGUUUGGCAUCUUUCCAGCAAAUUCGUUGGUACGCUAAUUGAAAACGGUUACGUGUAUCGACACAAAUUCCAUAACUUUUUGCCAGCAUGGUCUGAAGAUGAUCCAAAUCAAAUUUGGUGAAAAUCUGAGCAACGGUCUAGGAGGAGUUUGAAAAAGUAGGUUUUCAACAUGAAUCAAAAUGGCGGACAGGAAAUUUUGCCAAAAUUGACAAAUGGGGUAUCGGUGUUCUCGGCAUGACCCAAGGAAUCUAUCAACAUCAGCUUUGUUACAAUAGGCUAAUGUAUG